Molecule: long non-coding RNA, 639 nt
Filed under: Ananas comosus (pineapple)
Lineage: Eukaryota; Viridiplantae; Streptophyta; Magnoliopsida; Poales; Bromeliaceae
Description: long non-coding RNA (ACOM_LNC020691)
Source: RNAcentral
UUAUUAUUAUUAUUUUUUUUGAAGAGAAAAUUUUUAGAUAGUUUGGUUGUGUUGUUGUUUUUUUAUUGUUUGAUUAACUUUUUAUGUGAAAUAAUAUGGGAGGUUGAGAUAGAUUGCUUGAGAUUUUUUUACAUCUAAAGUAAUUAUGGAUAACAUCGGAGUUAUUAUCGUCGAUUUUUUUUAUAAAUUUAUGUAUAAUAGUGCAGGAAGAAAUGUUGCAUUUUUUUACUUUUUUAAUUAUCUUUACGUGAAAUAAUAAUUUUUUUUAAAAAAAAUGCCAAUAAUGCCAAAAGAGGUUGUUUUACACAUUCUCAUUAAGUUUCACUUUUAAUUUUUACUCCUAGUUUUCUCUUUAUAUCACUAAAAAAAUCUGUAAUUAAGUGAGAGAUUAAAAUAUUAUAAUUUACAAACCACAUGAUAAUAGAGUGGUAAAUUUUAUAAAUUGUAAGGUAUUAAAAUGCAGUAUUUGAUAAAAGCUAUUUAUACAGCUCAAAAGAAAUGAAUAAUGUACACUCUAUCUAUCUAUGGUGGAAUAAUCUUUAUUAGUUAUAUCGAUAUGAUUAGUAAAAAAUUUUCAUUCUAAGAUGAAUAGAUGUACAUCAUAUAUUUCUUUUCAUAAAAUUUUACUCUAUUAGAAUU